RNAcentral lists this ribosomal RNA (201 nucleotides) under uncultured bacterium. Its description in RNAcentral is "partial 16S ribosomal RNA". It matches the Rfam family "Bacterial small subunit ribosomal RNA", at positions 524 to 721 of the family's 1533-position model. The record is from RNAcentral.
UACGUAGGGUGCGAGCGUUAAUCGGAAUUACUGGGCGGUAAAGCGUGCGCAGGCGGUGAUGUAAGACAGGUGUGAAAUCCCCGGGCUUAACCCUGGGAACUGCAUUUGUGACUGCAUCGCUGGAGUGCGGCAGAGGGGGGAUGGAAUUCCGCGUGUAGCAGUGAAAUGCGUAGAUAUGCGGAGGAACACCGAUGGCGAAGG